RNAcentral lists this long non-coding RNA (706 nucleotides) under Oryzias javanicus (javanese ricefish). RNAcentral's name for it is "lncRNA (ENSOJAG00000001057.1)". The record is from RNAcentral. Lineage: Eukaryota; Metazoa; Chordata; Actinopteri; Beloniformes; Adrianichthyidae.
GCAAGCGAAUCCUACCGGAGGUGAAUUACAACGCAGGACGAAGAGCAUCUUCAUCGAUCUUCAGACAAAUCUCCAGCUGUUAAGGAGGAGCUGGUGAGGGAAAAUGCCCUCACUGUUGUCCGUCAAAGAGGAGGAGAUGCCUCUGACCAAAUGGAGGUCCUGGGAGAGUACACACUGCAGUUUGGCAAGUACAAGGCAAGAGUUUCCGUUGACUUCUUGAAAAUGAUGUGGGUUAUACAGUUUAGAUGAUCAAGGGCCAGCAAAGAGAGGAAGCAGGGAACAGGUCCAGUCACAGGGACACAACAAGGACAGUCUGAUGUCCUUUGUCAAAUACACCCUCAGCUUCAGCCAAAUCCAGUCCCUCACUGACCUUGAGUUAAACAGGACUGGCAGGGAAGUUUCAGCCGCUGCGUCAGAAGAUGAGCGGCUGGUUGACUUUGACUCUCAAGCCAGAAGCACCUGGAGAGACAUCUGGGAGAGCAGGAGUGAUGGCUACGCAGCUUUCAUCCUGAAGAGAAGAUGUGCUGCAGGAACAAAGAUGCACAAGUUGCAGCAGGAAGAAUCUGCAUCUCCCAAGGAAUCAGGCCAGAGACCUGAAAUUCCUGCCUGCAACUCUCUCCAUCCCAGCAGGAUCAGAUGUGCAGGAAAAAGGUUUGCUGCUUCUGCAAACACAAAUAUUUCAGCAGUUUAUUUGUCUGGUUCUUAA